This 1518-nucleotide ribosomal RNA is filed under the name uncultured bacterium. RNAcentral describes it as "partial 16S ribosomal RNA". It matches the Rfam family "Bacterial small subunit ribosomal RNA". The record is from RNAcentral.
UUUAGCGGCCGCGAAUUCGCCCUUAGAGUUUGAUCCUGGCUCAGGAUGAACGCUAGCGGCGCGCCUAAUGCAUGUAAGUCGAACGAUGAGGCUCCUUCGGGAGUACAUCAGUGGCAGACGGGUGAGUAACACGUGGGUGACCUGCCCCUUAGACCGGGAUAACUAGUGGAAACAGUGGCUAAUACCGGAUGACCUUAUAGAGAUCAAAACAAUAAGGAAAGGAGAAAUCCGCUAAGGGAGGGGCCCGCGGCCCAUCAGCUAGUUGGUGAGGUAAAGGCUCACCAAGGCAAAGACGGGUAGGGGGUGUGAGAGCACGGCCCCCCACAAUGGGACUGAGACACGGCCCAUACUCCUACGGGAGGCAGCAGCAGGGAAUAUUGCACAAUGGACGAAAGUCUGAUGCAGCGACGCCGCGUGGAUGAAGAAGGCCUUCGGGUUGUAAAAUCCUUUUAGUGGGGAAGAGGAAGGACGGUACCCACAGAAUAAGCGUCGGCUAACUACGUGCCAGCAGCCGCGGUAAGACGUAGGACGCAAGCGUUAUCCGGAUUUACUAGGCGUAAAGCGUCUGUAGGCGGAGGAAUAAGUUGGGCGUGAAAGCUCCGGGCUCAACCCGGAGAGAGCGUUCAAUACUGUUUCACUAGAGGAAGUCAGAGGAGAGCGGAAUUUCCGGUGUAGCGGUAAAAUGCGCAGAUAUCGGAAGGAACACCAGUGGCGAAGGCGGCUCUCUGGGACUCACCUGACGCUGAGAGACGAAAGCUAGGGGAGCGAACAGGAUUAGAGACCCUGGUAGUCCUAGCCAUAAACGAUGGAUGCUAGGUGUGGGACCGAGAAGGUUCUGUGCCGGAGCAAACGCGAUAAGCAUCCCGCCUGGGGAGUACGACCGCAAGGUUAAAACUCAAACGAAUUGACGGGGCCCCGCACAAGCAGCGGAGCGUGUGGUUUAAUUCGAUGUUACACGAAGAACCUUACCUGGGAUUGACAUGUAGAUGGUAGUGAGGCGAAAGCCGAACGACCCUUCGGGGAGUCUACACAGGUGCUGCAUGGCUGUCGUCAGCUCGUGCCGUGAGGUGUCGGGUUAAGUCCCGUAACGAGCGCAACCCUUGCCCGCCGUUACAAGUGUCAGCGGGGACUGCCGGCGGUAAGCCGGAGGAAGGUGGGGAUGACGUCAAGUCAGCAUGGCCCUUAUACCCAGGGCUACACACACGCUACAAUGGUCGGUACAAAGGGCAGCGAAGCCGCGAGGUGAAGCGAAUCCCCAAAAGCCGGUCGUAGUUCGGAUUGCAGGCUGCAACCCGCCUGCAUGAAGCUGGAGUUGCUAGUAACCGCGCGUCAGCUAUAGUGCGGUGAAUACGUUCCCGGGGCUUGUACACACCGCCCGUCACGUCAUGGAAGUUGGUAACGCCUGAAGCCGGUAGCUUAACUGGAAACAGGGAGCGCUGUUCAAGGCGGGACUGGCAACUGGGACGAAGUCGUAACAAGGUAAAGGGCGAAUUCGUUUAAACCUGCAGGACUAGUCCC